This 826-nucleotide ribosomal RNA is filed under the name uncultured eukaryote. Its description in RNAcentral is "SSU rRNA". It matches the Rfam family "Eukaryotic small subunit ribosomal RNA", at positions 64 to 900 of the family's 1831-position model. The record is from RNAcentral.
UAUAAGCAACUAUACGGUGAAACUGCGAAUGGCUCAUUAAAUCAGUUAUCGUUUAUUUGAUAGUACUUCGCUACAUGGACAACUGUGGUAAUUCUAGAGCUAAUACAUGCUAAAAACCCCGACUUCGGAAGGGGUGUAUUUAUUAGAUAAAAAACCAACGCCCUCCGGGGCUCCUUGGUGAAUCAUAAUAACUUCACGAAUCGCAUGGCCUUGAGCCGGCGAUGGUUCAUUCAAAUUUCUGCCCUAUCAACUUUCAAUGGUAGGAUAGUGGCCUACCAUGGUCUCAACGGGUAACGGGGAAUUAGGGUUCGACUCCGGAGAGGGAGCCUGAGAAACGGCUACCACAUCCAAGGAAGGCAGCAGGCGCGCAAAUUACCCAAUCCCGACACGGGGAGGUAGUGACAAUAAAUACUGAUACAGGGCUCUUUCGGGUCUUGUAAUUGGAAUGAGUACAAUUUAAAUCCCUUAACGAGGAACAAUUGGAGGGCAAGUCUGGUGCCAGCAGCCGCGGUAAUUCCAGCUCCAAUAGCGUAUAUUAAAGUUGUUGCAGUUAAAAAGCUCGUAGUUGAACCUUGGGCCUGGCUGGCCGGUCCGCCUCACCGCGUGUACUGGUCCGGCCGGGCCUUUCCUUCUGGGGAACCGCAUGGCCUUCACUGGCCGUGCCGGGGAACCAGGACUUUUACUUUGAAAAAAUUAGAGUGUUCAAAGCAGGCCUUUGCUCGAAUACAUUAGCAUGGAAUAAUAGAAUAGGACGUGCGGUUCUAUUUUGUUGGUUUCUAGGACCGCCGUAAUGAUUAAUAGGGACAGUCGGGGGCAUCCGUAUUCA